AGAGUUUGAUCAUGGCUCAGAUUGAACGCUGGCGGCAGGCCUAACACAUGCAAGUCGAACGGUAACAGGAAGAAGCUUGCUUCUUUGCUGACGAGUGGCGGACGGGUGAGUAAUGUCUGGGAAACUGCCUGAUGGAGGGGGAUAACUACUGGAAACGGUAGCUAAUACCGCAUAACGUCGCAAGACCAAAGAGGGGGACCUUCGGGCCUCUUGCCAUCGGAUGUGCCCAGAUGGGAUUAGCUAGUAGGUGGGGUAACGGCUCACCUAGGCGACGAUCCCUAGCUGGUCUGAGAGGAUGACCAGCCACACUGGAACUGAGACACGGUCCAGACUCCUACGGGAGGCAGCAGUGGGGAAUAUUGCACAAUGGGCGCAAGCCUGAUGCAGCCAUGCCGCGUGUAUGAAGAAGGCCUUCGGGUUGUAAAGUACUUUCAGCGGGGAGGAAGGGAGUAAAGUUAAUACCUUUGCUCAUUGACGUUACCCGCAGAAGAAGCACCGGCUAACUCCGUGCCAGCAGCCGCGGUAAUACGGAGGGUGCAAGCGUUAAUCGGAAUUACUGGGCGUAAAGCGCACGCAGGCGGUUUGUUAAGUCAGAUGUGAAAUCCCCGGGCUCAACCUGGGAACUGCAUCUGAUACUGGCAAGCUUGAGUCUCGUAGAGGGGGGUAGAAUUCCAGGUGUAGCGGUGAAAUGCGUAGAGAUCUGGAGGAAUACCGGUGGCGAAGGCGGCCCCCUGGACGAAGACUGACGCUCAGGUGCGAAAGCGUGGGGAGCAAAACAGGAUUAGAUACCCUGGUAGUCCACGCCGUAAACGAUGUCGACUUGGAGGUUGUGCCCUUGAGGCGUGGCUUCCGGAGCUAACGCGUUAAGUCGACCGCCUGGGGAGUACGGCCGCAAGGUUAAAACUCAAAUGAAUUGACGGGGGCCCGCACAAGCGGUGGAGCAUGUGGUUUAAUUCGAUGCAACGCGAAGAACCUUACCUGGUCUUGACAUCCACGGAAGUUUUCAGAGAUGAGAAUGUGCCUUCGGGAACCGUGAGACAGGUGCUGCAUGGCUGUCGUCAGCUCGUGUUGUGAAAUGUUGGGUUAAGUCCCGCAACGAGCGCAACCCUUAUCCUUUGUUGCCAGCGGUCCGGCCGGGAACUCAAAGGAGACUGCCAGUGAUAAACUGGAGGAAGGUGGGGAUGACGUCAAGUCAUCAUGGCCCUUACGACCAGGGCUACACACGUGCUACAAUGGCGCAUACAAAGAGAAGCGACCUCGCGAGAGCAAGCGGACCUCAUAAAGUGCGUCGUAGUCCGGAUUGGAGUCUGCAACUCGACUCCAUGAAGUCGGAAUCGCUAGUAAUCGUGGAUCAGAAUGCCACGGUGAAUACGUUCCCGGGCCUUGUACACACCGCCCGUCACACCAUGGGAGUGGGUUGCAAAAGAAGUAGGUAGCUUAACCUUCGGGAGGGCGCUUACCACUUUGUGAUUCAUGACUGGGGUGAAGUCGGAACAAGGUA
RNAcentral lists this ribosomal RNA (1501 nucleotides) under metagenome. RNAcentral's name for it is "bacterial SSU rRNA". It matches the Rfam family "Bacterial small subunit ribosomal RNA". The record is from RNAcentral.